GAUGAACGCUAGCGACAGGCUUAACACAUGCAAGUCGAGGGGCAGCACGGUGUAGCAAUACACUGGUGGCGACCGGCGCACGGGUGAGUAACGCGUGUGCAACCAACCCCGUACCGGGAGAUAACCCGCGGAAACGUGGACUAACAUCCCAUAACACUCUAGAGCCGCAUGGUUCUGGAUUUAAAACCCCGGUGGUACGGGACGGGCACGCGCGACAUUAGGUAGUUGGUGAGGUAACGGCUCACCAAGCCUUCGAUGGAUAGGGGUUCUGAGAGGAAGGUCCCCCACAUUGGAACUGAGACACGGUCCAAACUCCUACGGGAGGCAGCAGUGAGGAAUAUUGGUCAAUGGGCGCUAGCCUGAACCAGCCAAGUAGCGUGAAGGAUGAAGGCUCUAUGGGUCGUAAAACUUCUUUUAUAUAAGAAUAAAGUGCAGUAUGUAUACUGUUUUGUAUGUAUUAUAUGAAUAAGGAUCGGCUAACUCCGUG
RNAcentral lists this ribosomal RNA (487 nucleotides) under uncultured bacterium. Its description in RNAcentral is "bacterial SSU rRNA". It matches the Rfam family "Bacterial small subunit ribosomal RNA", at positions 28 to 507 of the family's 1533-position model. The record is from RNAcentral.